RNAcentral lists this ribosomal RNA (698 nucleotides) under Argiope amoena. Its description in RNAcentral is "12S ribosomal RNA". Lineage: Eukaryota; Metazoa; Arthropoda; Arachnida; Araneae; Araneidae. The record is from RNAcentral.
UUUGCUUAGUACAGCUUUAUAGUAUAAAGAUUUAAAUAAAAAUUCGCUUAAAUUUUGAAAUUUAUAACAUAUAUCCUCAUAUAACAUGAAAAAAGUUGUAAAUCAUUUUAUUAACAAAGUAAAGUGCCAGCAGUUGCGGUUAAACUUUAAAUAAUAUUAUACUUUUUCUUUCUUACUUAAACCAUUUUAUCAAAAAGCUAAAUAUUAGGUGAAAUUUUAUUUUUCAUUUGAAAAAAUAUUUUAAAAUAGACAAAAUUAAAAAUUUAAAAUAGGAUUAGAUACCCUAGUAUAUUUUAAUAACUUUUAGGUAGUACUUCUUUAAUAAGAAAACCUAUGUAGUUUGGCGGCAUUUUAUCAAUUUAGAGGAACCUGCCUUUUAAUCGAUGCACCACGAUACUUUUCACUUCUGUUUAUAUCUUAUAUACCGCCAUCUUAAGGGUUAAUAUAUACAUUUUUCCCAAGAUAGAUUUCUAAUAAGUUAGGUAAAGGUGUAGACCAUACAGAAGAUAGGGUGUGUUACAAUAAAUAUUAUUUAAGGAUUAAAAAUUAAAACUUUUAUUGAAAGAGGAUUUAUAAGUAAGCUAAAGAAUAUUAAUCUUUACUGAACCUGAUAAAAAAUGUGCACAUAUCGCCCGUCACCCUUAUCUAAAGGUAAGGUAAGUCGUAACAUAGUUGAUGUUUUGGAAAAAGCAUCAAGA